This is an RNA transcript of Prunus dulcis (almond), 1149 nucleotides long. RefSeq lists it as uncharacterized. The record is from RefSeq and is a predicted model, not a curated record. Lineage: Eukaryota; Viridiplantae; Streptophyta; Magnoliopsida; Rosales; Rosaceae. The transcript is spliced from 8 exons.
CGUCCGUCUCUCUCUUCGUCCCCCUCUCUCUGCUCCUCUCAGUCAUCAGUUCAAACCCUAGAAAAUUGGGGAUUUUUCCAAUAUCAAAGGAUUGACCAAUCUUUCAGUCACAGGCAUAUGUUGAAAAUUUUGGAGCGGAGCAAGGGAUGUGGAGGUGGAUCUUAUUUGGGAUAGGCUUCGUUUUUGGGAUUCCCUUUGGCCGUUGGUAUCUUCAGAAGUUAAGGAUUGUUCCUUUCAAGCAGCUCCUCUCCUCCUUCUGUGACGACGAGACGAUGCCGGCGACCACAUCUCCUCUCCUCUCAAGUUUUCAUAGUUAUGAUUUCCCUUUCUCACUCUCAUCUGGAUCUCUAUGGCUGGCUUUCUCUCAACCUCUCUGUGGCUGGCUUUCUCUCAACCUCUCUGUGGCAGGGUUGGAAGCUUGAGAGUUGUUCAUUCUUGAUAAUGAUAUGGGACUUUAAAUUGAUGGCCUUGAGACUGCAUAUUGUUCAAACCAAAAGCACUGGGUUCUUGAAGGAAGAUGCUAGAAGAUGGAGAUAGGAUUGAGACAUUUUAUGUACUCUGUUUACUUGAGAUCUCAAUGUUAAAAUAAUGAUCUAGAACUUGAGAUAGGAUUGAGACAUUUAUUGUCCUCCACGACAAUAGAGCAAAUUGGUGUCCGUUACAACCCAUGAGAUCCAUGACUUCUUAUAAUGUAUUAUUUUUGUGCUUGAGAUAAUUUAGUCUGAAUUGUAGAGUAAUAUCUUUAGUUUCUUAUGCAGUUUUAGAGAUGCUCAACAACAGAGCAUAGAAUGUAUGUGCUGACUUCCCAACCCAUUGAACAUGAAACUUCACUGCAAUCAAUGGUACCAUGAUAUGAAGAGUCCUAAUUUACACGACUUCUAUAUCUUCUACAUGGGAAAGGGACUUACUCUUCUUGGGCUUCUUAAUUUCAAAUUGGUUUUGAUUAUGUUUUUCAGUUAGGUAUUGUUUUGAUUUUGAUUUUGGAUUUGCAGGUAUUCCAACUAGCGGCCCAUCCACCCUUCCCAGCAUCUGAUAAGGGUUGGGGUAAAGAAUUAGGCCAAGUACAAGACUAAUAUACUAUUUUGGAGUCUAUUUAUUUGGCUACUUGAAUUUGUAAUAUUUUCAUUGUAUCUGGAGAUUGUAUUUUUU